UAGUCAUAACAAUGAACUAGGAUAUCAAGACUAACAAUAACAUU
RNAcentral lists this unclassified non-coding RNA (44 nucleotides) under human respiratory syncytial virus. The record is from RNAcentral. Lineage: Riboviria; Orthornavirae; Negarnaviricota; Monjiviricetes; Mononegavirales; Pneumoviridae.